AGGUCUGUGUGGGUAGCAGCUCUCUCAUGCUAUAAAUACGGAGGAAUGACUGAAUUUAGGGCUUCAUAAAAUCUCAUUAGUUUAAGUAUGAGGCUCUCUCUCUCUCGCUCACAGAGAUCUGGGAAUUUCUCAGGGUGGUUGCCCCUCUCUGUUGACGACGGCGGCGGUUGAUCAAUCGUCGGAGAGCCGAUGAUUUAACCAAUCUGUCCCUCUCUUUACCAACAGCCCUGGGGAAGUUGUAUUCACACACCCCUUUUUCCUCAGUACACCCACACCGAACAACGGAGCAUUGAAGUGGCUGUAAAAUGCCAUUCUCUCUGUAUCGGAUGAGGAUCCUGUACUUGGGAUGAAUGGUAUUAAUCAAACCAUCCAAAGUCAGAUAAUUCUUCAAGGACCGUCACUCUUCUUCCAAAAAACACUUGAACAAGAACAUCCAGUAUAUGAGCAGGUUUUGAAGAAAGGCUAGAAACGAUGAGCAGAACAUGCAAUGGUUUAGGUCUGAACUGGUCAAAACUUCAGAGAAAUGGUACUACCCUAGCAAAUAUGUUUUACUGCUACGGAAAUGGUACUACCCUAGCAAAUAUGUUUUGGUACGAAUGUUCCGAGAAAUGGUGCACUUUCAUUCCAAAAUGUGGCAGGCGUGGGAGCAGAGCCGUUGGAUGCAGCUGGUAGUGGUGGAUCAACGACAUCUGCAACUUCGAGGACUGGGGCAGGGGCUUCUGCAGGCGGCAAAAUGGAUGGUGGAACCAAGUGAAGUAGGUUGCCUGGUCUAAUUGGUAAGAUGUAUGACAAAUUCGUGUCCGGGUUGGAACAAGGGCUUCCUGCAAGAACCAAAGAUGACAGUCAUGUUAUGUUCUCGAGCAUCUGUACCAUUUUAUCAAAAGCUUUUGAACUCAACCUGUGAAAUGUUUGUUAAGUAUAUCUCAGAUGUGGCUUCUGUGAUGAAUGUAGAAUUCUCACAAUAACUUCUACAUGCAUAUCGAUGUCUAUAUAGGCUAAUGCCUUCUCGUAACCAUUUAAUGUCUAUGUGAUUCCGUCAAUAAGAGGCUUAAGCUGUUUGAUUACUACUACCACAUAUGGUACAUGAACUCGGGCACUGGCAUCAAAUGUGACAUGUACAUUUGUAGGGAUCAGAUUAAUCUCUUUCCUGUUUCUAAGAACGACGAGCAACAACAAAUUUUUUUACGUCAGAGUAUCUUUCUUGAAUGCAAUAAGGUUCUAAUGAAAAUGUUUGUAUCUCUGUCAUACAGGUAAGUAGCGUCUAUAAGGUGUCGUAGAACAUUUCGUGCAAGAAGUAUAUGGUAGGCUUCAACUCAUGGACAUACUUGGUUGGAUACUACUUAUUAGCUUGACUCUCACAUGUCAUACUCUUACCCAAGUAAGUACCUCCGACAGAGGUAUAUGAACACUUGUGUUUUUGGUAACCGGAAGUCCGGCCAGCUUGUGCGCACCUUGACUUAGAAGAAUACAUGCAACAUCACAAAGUAUGGUAGCUUAGGAGUACCAAAUAACUAGCUGUUUAAUUUACAUGCCUGCAUCUAUAUUGUCAUUCAGAUGUAUUGUUUGGUAAGGAGUAUCAUAUCGGUCUUCUCAAUAACGACCCAUUCGUCUAAACGAUGAUGGAAGAACAACUCACAAUAAUAACCCCGGAUUGAAUGCAUACCCUGUGCAAACUCCACAUAAUUUCUUUGCAUUUAGACACUUGAAAAUUUCACAGAAACGCAAGAGUACAAGGUCCGUAAACUUACUCAAGUAUGCAUUUGCUGUAGCAGGAAACUCCGUCAUCACCCCAUCGACUCCGAGACCAUCGUGAGCCAAAUAAGUCGCAAUCUCCAACAUCGGAUCCGAAAAGAAAUCAAACGCCAGGCUGACGAAUUCGUUUCUAAAAGGGAAGGCAUAAACUGAUAUAUUCGCAGCGUGCAUAUCGUCAACGACAGUGGUGAAAGACGUGGUGAAGGAAUUAGAUCCCUUAAUCAUUGAGGCUCUUCUGAUUGAAACUGCAUCUGCGUACUUUUUGAUUUCGCCCACUGUCAUAUUUGGUGCAGCACUUAUUGUCUCGUUGAUUAACAGUACUUUUUGAAAAUUCCGGUUGCUCAUGAACUUUGAAAGGACUUGAGUGUCGUCUGACUGGAUCAAGACUUUCUGAGUACGUUGUUUAUCGAAGGUGGCGUUGGCCAAGGCAGUGGCAACAACAUCUGUUAUGACAAGACCCUUCUUGGAUGCUAGGUAGGCAGCAUUCUAGGAGGGAAAGUGUAGAUGUUAGAAUACAACAUUAAGAUGGAAAAUUCCUUGACAAGAAUUGCUUCGGUGGCAUUUUUCUGCUAAGAACAGUGUAAGAGAAAGGGAGAACGAGAAAAGAAGACAGACGAAAACACUACAAAAUAACGAGAAAGAUGGCCAACUCCUCGUCUAUAGCUUUGGCCACCAACUCUGAAAGUUCUUCACUACUCGGUGAUCCUUGAAAGUUGAAAUCCAAAAAACGAAGCCCAAGCAGCCAGUUCAUAAGCACUUCGAUUUGUUGCUCUUGGAGUAUAAGAGAAACACCAAAAAGGCACACACGUUUACCAAAGGGGCUAUCUAGCUACCAUGAGAGAUCCGCUUUUUCAUUCUGGCAAGCUGACCAUUGAUCUUCAAGCACCCAUAGGAGAUCCUCUUUUGCUCGGGUGGGAUUUAGUAACAUAGCAAGUUUUCUGCUUUCUGCUUACUGAAUGAAGGGAAACAUGUUCUCAUCGUUUUCAAUAACUUGUUUUUGCUAGAAGUGAGGAGGUGGCCAGAUGAGGGAGUUGGGCGCAGGUGGUGCCGGAGGGAAGAGAGAAUGGAAAUUUGAACAAUAAAACCCCUCUUUUCUUUUCAUUUCCAAAAAUUUUAGAACCUUUGAAACUUUUUCAGUGUUUUGGACACAAAAGUAGCUUUCAAACAUGUUCUUGUACACGACUUUCAGAUCUCUAGAAAACAAAAUCAGAAGACCGAACGAAAAAGUUUACCGAGGAGGAUCAAAGACUAGAUAAAAAUUGCUGAUAGAGAAUCAGAAACUAAAAGGAAAUAUGACGUGAUGAAAACUUACUUGUAUGGUGAUCAAAAUCCCAGUAACUGCCUUUGUCUGAGCAAGUUCUAAGAAUGCAGAUAGAGUCACAAAUUUGCCCUUAUUAGUGUUUGCAGGGUUUCUUCUCAAUCCACUUUCUGGAAAAGGGUUCCUCAGUUGAGCUGCAACGGAAGAAAUUCGAUGUGAGCAGGAUAACUCAAGGCCUAAAUUUGUUCAAUCCGUAAGGGGAAAGGAAAGUUGACAAUGCAGUUGUUUCUACUGAGAGAUCAGCCGACUCCAAACAGAAGGCAACUCCAUCUUUCGAUACCUGGACCGUACAAUCGAUAAUGUCUGCUCCAUCAGAAAUCGCUUGUUCAUAAGCAAGAUCGGUACACCCUGGGAAAAUCCCACUAGCACCAUUCCGAGAAAUGAUCAAAGGUCCUGAAAUGGAAAACAGAAUUAACGCGAGAGAGUAGUUUUUCCUUGCAGUUUUUUUAACGCUUGUCGAGUUUUCUGUCCACUCUGAUGUACAUGUAUCUAGCUCUAAAGAGCAUACUACUAGUUUCUCACAACAAUCUCUUUAUUUUCUAA
Molecule: long non-coding RNA, 3613 nt
Organism: Rhododendron vialii
Lineage: Eukaryota; Viridiplantae; Streptophyta; Magnoliopsida; Ericales; Ericaceae
Exons: 4
Source: RefSeq, a predicted model, not a curated record